This 492-nucleotide ribosomal RNA is filed under the name uncultured bacterium. Its description in RNAcentral is "partial 16S ribosomal RNA". It matches the Rfam family "Bacterial small subunit ribosomal RNA", at positions 29 to 507 of the family's 1533-position model. The record is from RNAcentral.
AGUGAACGCUGGCGGUAGGCCUAACACAUGCCAGUCGAACGGCAGCACAGUAAGAGCUUGCUCUUACGGGUGGCGAGUGGCGGACGGGUGAGGAAUACAUCGGAAUCUACUUUUUCGUGGGGGAUAACGUAGGGAAACUUACGCUAAUACCGCAUACGACAUACGGGUGAAAGCAGGGGAUCUUCGGACCUUGCGCGAUUGAAUGAGCCGAUGUCGGAUUAGCUAGUUGGCGGGGUAAAGGCCCACCAAGGCGACGAUCCGUAGCUGGUCUGAGAGGAUGAUCAGCCACACUGGAACUGAGACACGGUCCAGACUCCUACGGGAGGCAGCAGUGGGGAAUAUUGGACAAUGGGCGCAAGCCUGAUCCAGCCAUGCCGCGUGGGUGAAGAAGGCCUUCGGGUUGUAAAGCCCUUUUGUUGGGAAAGAAAAGCAGCAGGUUAAUACCCCGCUGUUCUGACGGUACCCAAAGAAUAAGCACCGGCUAACUUCGUG